AACGAACGUUGGCGGCGUGGAUGAGGCAUGCAAGUCGAACGUGAAAGCCGCAAGGUGAGUAGCGUGGCGGACGGGCGAGUAACACGUAAUCAAGCUGCCUGCGAGACGGGGAUAACUUCGGGAAACCGAAGCUAAGACCCGAUGGUCUACCGAGACUGCAUGGUUUUGGUAGUAAAUGGGCGGGAUCCUUCGGGAUCGCCUGCUCGCAGAGGUGAUUGCGGCCCAUCAGCUAGUUGGUAGGGUAAUGGCCUACCAAGGCAACGACGGGUAGCCGGCCUAAGAGGGUGGUCGGCCGCACUGGGACUGAGACACUGCCCAGACUCCUACGGGAGGCUGCAGUCGAGAAUCUUCCGCAAUGGGCGAAAGCCUGACGGAGCGACGCCGCGUGGAGGACGAAGGCCUCGGUUGUAACUACCUGUCACGAGUUAAGAAGGACGCGAUGCGCGAACAGCGCAGGCGUUGACGUAAGCUCGAGAGGAAGCACUGGCUAACU
This 493-nucleotide ribosomal RNA is filed under the name uncultured bacterium. RNAcentral describes it as "bacterial SSU rRNA". It matches the Rfam family "Bacterial small subunit ribosomal RNA", at positions 29 to 502 of the family's 1533-position model. The record is from RNAcentral.